RNA transcript from Drosophila bipectinata, 657 nucleotides. RefSeq lists it as uncharacterized. The record is from RefSeq and is a predicted model, not a curated record. Lineage: Eukaryota; Metazoa; Arthropoda; Insecta; Diptera; Drosophilidae.
CUUCGUGGCCAGGACACGCGACCCGUGUGACGCAAAAACACCUUAAAUCCCAAGUGCCAAGUGCCGAGUGAACAAACAAACAAACAAGAAACACCAUCUAAGCCAACUGCCUCUGCGUUAUAGUGCGAAUAAAACUAAAUCAAAAGACCAGUGCAACAGUGCAUCAGUUCUCGGUAGAGCAAAAAAUAAACCUUAAAGCAAAUAUCAACAGACCGAAUAAAAAUAAGCAUAAACAAAAACCAAAAACCCAGAAACGAAAACGAAGCAGAGAAACACACAAAAGCGAAAUUUAAACGUCUGAAUAUUAAUCAGAAAAAGAGAGGGCGCUGAAAACGUGAACCGGAUCCAGUCCUAGACAACUUAUCACAGAGGAUUUACACAGACUGUCAGACAGACAGACUCGGAGGGGCAGCAGGACACGAAUGCGAGUACAGAGCAAAAGGCAGCGCUAAUCAACGGCCAUAGCAGACGACAUCCUUGCUGUCGGGCACGCCCACAAAGUAAGGAGCCGCAGCAUCAGAAAACAGGAGCAGGAGCCGCCUCAUUUGGCCACUGCGGAUUAUGUUAAUUAGAUUUUAAGCACGCGACGACAGCCACUGCGACGGGGGAGAGCUUCUCCCACUGUAAUGUGACAACAGUUGGGCCAAAACAUAAAAA